Non-coding RNA from Phoenix dactylifera (date palm), 4239 nucleotides. NCBI's taxonomy places the organism in Eukaryota, Viridiplantae, Streptophyta, Magnoliopsida, Arecales, Arecaceae. The record is from RefSeq and is a predicted model, not a curated record.
UUCCCACAAUUCGCACCCCAGCGGCAGGCCAUUUCUGUUUGCGUGGGGAGUGCGAGCUGAGCGACCGAGGAAGAGAGAGCGAGAAGAAGAGAAGGAGAAGGAGUGGACGAGAGCGAGAGAGUUCAAGUAUUUUCUCUCCGGCAUCGUCACAGCGUCGUCCCCUUUCGAUUCCGAGCGAGUUCAGGGCAGAAUUGUUAUUGACUUCGGCACAUCUCUGUGUACGGAGACUGUGAAUGGCGGCGCCUUCCUCUGGGUGAAGGUGCUUGUUGCUGCUUAAAUCUCUGUUACGAAUGGCCAGCAAUUCACAGUUUUCUGGGGUACAGCCCCUUAGGCCUGCAGUGGUCAGGUCCGCAGUUCCACCUCAAAAUUUUGGUCCACCAAUGCCUAUGCAGUUUGGACAUGUGGUUCCAGCUCAACAAACACAUCAGUUCAUCCCAGCAGCCUCUCAGCAAUUCCGACCUGUUGGGCAAGGUGUUCAUGGUACAAAUAUUGGAAUGCCUUCUGAUCAAACUCAAAUGCCCCAUUUUUCUCAACCUGCACACCAUUUACCUCCAAGAUCAGGCCCAGCAGCACCACCAUCUUCACAAGCAGUUCCAAUGCCAUAUGUUCAGCCAAACAGGCCUAUGACAUCUGGGACACUGCAGCCCCAGCAAAAUCCUCAGAUGCCACACAAUCAUCUGCCUAAUUUCGGUGGCGUAGGAAUGCCUCUUUCUUCAUCUUAUACAUUUACGACGUCUUAUGGCCAGCCACAACAUACAUUCAACACCCCAUCCCAAUAUCAACCAGCAUCUCAGAUGCAUGCACCUGUUAUGCCUGCAGUCGGACAACCUUGGUCUACACACGGGACUCAGAAUGUACCUCUUGUUACACAUUUAGUGCAGGCUGCAGCACAAUCUUCAGCUGCGGCAGGCACAGUUCCUACAACAAAUGCACAACCUAGCUCAGCUGAACAGGCCUCUUCUGAUUGGCAAGUGCACACAUCUGAUGAUGGAAAAAGAUAUUAUUACAAUAAGAAGACCAGACAGUCUAGCUGGGAGAAGCCCUUUGAGUUGAUGACACCUGUUGAGAGGGCCGAUGCUUCGACUGAUUGGAAGGAAUUCAGCACUCCAGAUGGACGAACAUACUAUUAUAACAAGGUCACAAAGGUAUCCAAAUGGAUAAUUCCUGAGGAGCUCAAGCUAGCUCGUGAACAAGCAUUAAGGGCUGCAGCUGCGCAGCCAUGUACAGAAACUGGUGCAGCUUCUGCUGUCCCAGCUGCUCCAGUUGUUUCGUCUGGGGAGAUCCCUCCUGCCACAGCUUCUGUGACUCCUGAAGCAACAUAUGCAGUAGUAUCAAGCCCAGUUUCAGUGUCAGCCAAUGCUAUUGUACCUCCAGGUGUGAUGGCUUCAGUAUCGCCAUCUGUUGCUGUUGUACCAUCUGCUGGAAUCCCUUCUAGUUCCUCUUUGGGAAUUCUAAACACAGUUGGCGCAUCAAAUCCUCAGACACCUGUAACUCCAUUACUGGCACCUGUUCCUGCAAAUACAGUGGUUCCUACUGUUGCAAUAGAAGCUGCAUUAUCUAAUGCAAAGAGUAAUCAUGACAAUUCCUCUCUUGUAAAUAUUGCAAGUUUGCCUGAUGGAGCUUCUGCUCAGGAUUUGGAGGAAGCUAAGAAGGGUAUGCCGGUUACUGGAAGAAGCAAUGCCGCUUCAUUGGAGGAGAAAACAAUUGAUGAAGAACCUUUUGUUUAUGCUAAUAAGCAGGAGGCAAAAAAUGCAUUCAAAACCCUACUGGAAUCUGCAAAUGUUGAAUCUGAUAUGACUUGGGAGCAGGCAAUGAGAGUUAUUAUUAGUGACAAGAGAUAUGGUGCGUUAAAGACACUUGGUGAGAGGAAACAAGCAUUUCAUGAGUACUUGGGGCAAAGGAAAAAACAGGAAGCUGAGGAACGGCGCAUUAAACAGAAGAAAGCACGAGAAGACUUCACCCGAAUGUUGGAAGAAUGUACAGAACUUACUUCGUCAACCCGGUGGAGUAAAGCUGUCACCAUGUUUGAGAAUGAUGAACGAUUUAAUGCUGUUGAGCGGGCAAGAGAUCGUGAGGAUCUAUUCGAAAGCUAUUUGCUGGAUCUCCUGAAGAAGGAAAGAGCAAAGGCUGCUGAGGAGCAUAAGCAAAACAUAAUGGACUAUAGAGCUUUUCUUGAAUCAUGUGACUUCAUUAAGGCAAACAGUCAAUGGAGGAAAGUUCAAGACCGGUUGGAGGAUGAUGAAAGAUGUUCUCGACUUGAAAAAAUUGAUCGUUUGGAGAUCUUCCAGGAGUAUAUACAUAAUUUGGAGAAGGAAGAGGAGGAGCAGCGAAAGAAACAGAAGGAGCAAUUAAGACGGCAGGAACGCAAAAACCGUGAUGAGUUUCGCAAGUUAAUGGAAGGACAUGUUGCUGCUGGAAUUCUUACAGCUAAAACUCACUGGCGUGAUUACUGUAUGCAGGUGAAGGAUUUGCCACCAUACAAAGCAGUAGCAUCAAACACAUCGGGUUCAACGCCAAAAGAUCUGUUUGAGGAUGUUGCAGAGGAACUUGACAAGCAGUACCAUGAAGACAAGGUCCAGAUCAAAGAAGCAAUCAAGAUCCAAAAGAUUGCUUUGGCAUCUUCAUGGAUGUUUGAAGACUUAAAGGUUGCCAUUUCGGCUGAUGAUAGCCUAAAAGGAAUAUCUGAGAUAAACAUGAAGCUUGUUUUUGAUGAGUUACUGGAAAGGCUUAGGGAGAAGGAGGAGAAAGAGGCUAAAAAGCACCAACGUCUUGCAGAUAAUUUCUCUGACUUGCUUUACUCAAUUAAGGAAAUAACUGCUUCAUCAGGAUGGGAGGACUGCAAAUCACUGUUUGAAGACACUCAAGAAUACAGGUCCAUUGGUGAUGAGAAUUUUGUGAGAGGGAUUUUUGAAGAACAUGUUGCCCGCUUGCGAGAAAAGUUGAAAGAGAAGGAGCGUAAGAGAGAAGAGGAAAAGGCAAAGAAAGAGAAAGAAAGAGAGGAAAAAGAGAAGAGGAAGGAGAAAGAAAGGAAAGAAAAGGAAGAAAGAAAGGAAAAAGAGAGAGAGCGUGAAAAAGACAAGGGAAAGGAUCGGUCUAGAAAAGAUGAAGCAGGGAGUGAAAAUGUUGAUAUGAUGGACAGCUAUGGCUCGAAGGAUAGAAAAAGGGAAAAGGAUAAGGAAAGAAAACAGCGAAAACAUCACCACAGCAUGGCUGAUGAUGUAAGCUCUGAAAAAGACGAGAAAGAGGAGUCUAAGAAGUCCCGCAGGUAUAGUGGUGACCGCAAGAAAUCACGGAAGCACUCUUACUCUAGUGAUUCAGAUAGUGAUAAUCGGCACAAGAGGCAUAAGAAAGAUCGAGAUGGCUCCCAUAGAAAUAAUGGUUACGAGGAGCUUGAGGAUGGGGAACUUGGAGAGGAUGGGGAAAUCUGUUGUUUGACUUUUGUUUAAUAAAUAAAAAGAUUGUGGCUAAUUGCUGGUAGCAGGGCCUUCUUCAAGAUUGCAAAUGAAUCUGGGAAGUAAAUGCAUUUAACGAUACUAGAUGCCUUUAUGUUUCCACUCAACCAUAUAUCAUUAUUUCUCUAUGUCGCUGUUAAGAAUCAUGUACCAGGUCACUGAGGCAAGAGAUUUCUACAUGUAAUCUGGUGAUGGGAUGCAUUCGUCUCACUGGUUGAAGACAUGCCUUCAGCAGCAUACUGUUCCAUGUAUCAUCAUUUCCUUGCUGUAUUCACCCUUGACAAGGUUUAGAAGGUACCUUGACAACCAUUUGUCUUGAUCGAAAAUCCUGAGAUGGUUGAGCCCCUUUGAGGUGAUUUUCUCAGGCCGCAGGAUAUUGCCGUUUGCUUCAGUACUAACUUUUGAGCUCGAUGCCAUACUUGCUUGGUGAUAAAACUAUAGUAUUUUGUGGGGCAACGCCGAUGCUUUUCACUUUGAUAGCCUUUGUAUGGUAUAUGUUAUCAAGCUCCUGGAGGUGUGAUGCAUCUUGGCUUAUCAGGUGGAGCUUUCAGAUGUCUCCUAUAUCUAUAUCCUAUUGUGGGAUCCAGAGUUCUGUAUAGCUACAGCAAUUGGUGGCAGUUGUUUCUUAGAUAUGGUCAGUUUUACUAAUUCUGAUAUAUAGAUGAAGUGAUGAGUAGGAUACUGCACCAGUUCUUUGAAUUUGUUUGCAUUUAUCCAAAUAUUAUGAGAUCUUUCUGAAAGUUAAUUUAUAUUUUUAAUAACCAAGCAGCUGGGUUUUGUUGCACUA